RNAcentral lists this ribosomal RNA (119 nucleotides) under Triticum aestivum (bread wheat). The record is from RNAcentral. Lineage: Eukaryota; Viridiplantae; Streptophyta; Magnoliopsida; Poales; Poaceae.
GGAUGUGAUCAUACCAGCACUAAAGCACCGGAUCCCAUCAGAACUCCGAAGUUAAUCGUGCUUGGGCGAGAGUAGUACUAGGAUGGGUGACCUCCUGGGAAGUCCUCGUGUUGCAUUCC